This 87-nucleotide transfer RNA is filed under the name bacterium. RNAcentral describes it as "tRNA-Leu". It matches the Rfam family "tRNA". Rfam says of the family: Transfer RNA (tRNA) molecules are approximately 80 nucleotides in length. The record is from RNAcentral. RNAcentral also lists the same sequence under 4 other names.
GCCCGGAUGGUGGAACUGGUAGACACGCCAUCUUGAGGGGGUGGUGGGCGAAUGCCUGUGCGAGUUCGAGUCUCGCUCCGGGCACCA